AUUGAACGCUGGCGGCAUGCCUUACACAUGCAAGUCGAACGGCAGCGCGGGAGCAAUCCUGGCGGCGAGUGGCGAACGGGUGAGUAAUAUAUCGGAACGUGCCCAGUAGUGGGGGAUAGCCCGGCGAAAGCCGGAUUAAUACCGCAUACGACCUGAGGGUGAAAGCGGGGGAUCGCAAGACCUCGCGCUAUUGGAGCGGCCGAUAUCAGAUUAGCUAGUUGGUGGGGUAAAGGCCUACCAAGGCAACGAUCUGUAGUUGGUCUGAGAGGACGACCAGCCACACUGGGACUGAGACACGGCCCAGACUCCUACGGGAGGCAGCAGUGGGGAAUUUUGGACAAUGGGCGCAAGCCUGAUCCAGCAAUG
RNAcentral lists this ribosomal RNA (366 nucleotides) under uncultured bacterium. RNAcentral's name for it is "bacterial SSU rRNA". It matches the Rfam family "Bacterial small subunit ribosomal RNA", at positions 29 to 396 of the family's 1533-position model. The record is from RNAcentral.